RNAcentral lists this long non-coding RNA (236 nucleotides) under Capsicum annuum. RNAcentral describes it as "long non-coding RNA (CANN_LNC008163)". Lineage: Eukaryota; Viridiplantae; Streptophyta; Magnoliopsida; Solanales; Solanaceae. The record is from RNAcentral.
GUUGUUUGGUGGUCUAUUGUACAACUUAUAUAUACUUUUCAGUUAAUAAUGUACCUUUCCACUUUAUAAUAUGAAAUGUAAAGGUUAAAGAUUACAAGGAAACACUAACAACCAAAAAUCAUGCAAUAGUUGGGAAUAAAGCUAUUGACACACACAAUUAGAAUACUGAUGGAGGUAGCACAAUGGCAUACCCUUAUUCUGUUUAAUACAAUUACAACCUCACUUCACGAUAAGCC